Molecule: unclassified non-coding RNA, 348 nt
Filed under: soil metagenome
Description: partial contains 5.8S ribosomal RNA, internal transcribed spacer 2, and large subunit ribosomal RNA
Rfam family: 5.8S ribosomal RNA (bases 1-120)
Source: RNAcentral
GAUGAAGAACGUAGCGAAAUGCGAUAAGUAAUGUGAAUUGCAGAAUUCAGUGAAUCAUCGAGUCUUUGAACGCACAUUGCGCCCCCUGGUAUUCCGGGGGGCAUGCCUGUCCGAGCGUCAUUGCUGCCCUCAAGCACGGCUUGUGUGUUGGGCCGCCGUCCCCGGUUUCCCCCGGGGACGGGCCCGAAAGGCAGCGGCGGCACCGCGUCCGAUCCUCGAGCGUAUGGGGCUUUGUCACCCGCUCUGUAGGCCCGGCCGGCGCCAGCGGACACCCAACUUUAUUUCUAAGGUUGACCUCGGAUCAGGUAGGGAUACCCGCUGAACUUAAGCAUAUCAAUAAGCGGAGGA